RNAcentral lists this ribosomal RNA (465 nucleotides) under uncultured bacterium. RNAcentral describes it as "partial 16S ribosomal RNA". It matches the Rfam family "Bacterial small subunit ribosomal RNA", at positions 28 to 507 of the family's 1533-position model. The record is from RNAcentral.
GACGAACGCUGGCGGCGUGCUUAACACAUGCAAGUCGAACGGAAAGGCCCUGCUUGCAGGGUACUCGAGUGGCGAACGGGUGAGUAACACGUGGGUGAUCUGCCCUGCACUUCGGGAUAAGCCUGGGAAACGGGGUCUAAUACCGGAUAGGAGCCAUUUUUAGUGUGAUGGUUGGAAAGUUUUUUCGGUGUAGGAUGAGCUCGCGGCCUAUCAGCUUGUUGGUGGGGUAAUGGCCUACCAAGGCGGCGACGGGUAGCCGGCCUGAGGGGGUGGACGGCCACAUUGGGACUGAGAUACGGCCCCGACUCCUACGGGAGGCAGCAGUGGGGAAUAUUGCCCAAUGGGCGCAAGCCUGAUGCAGCGACGCCGCGUGGGGGAUGACGGCCUUCGGGUUGUAAACUCCUUUCGCUAGGGACGAAGCUUUUUGUGACGGUACCUAGAUAAGAAGCACCGGCUAACUACGUG